UACGGAGGGUGCAAGCAUUAAUCGGAUUUAUUGGGCGUAAAGGGCGCGUAGGCGGACCUGUAAGUCAGAUGUGAAAUCCCGGGGCUCAACCUCGGAACAGCAUUUGAAACUGCAAGUCUAGAGGGUAGGCGGAGAAGACGGAAUUCCACAAGUAGCGGUGAAAUGCGUAGAUAUGUGGAAGAACACCGGUGGCGAAGGCGGUUUUCUAGCUUAAACCUGACGCUAAGGCGCGAAAGCAAGGGGAGCAAACAGG
This 253-nucleotide ribosomal RNA is filed under the name uncultured bacterium. RNAcentral describes it as "partial 16S ribosomal RNA". It matches the Rfam family "Bacterial small subunit ribosomal RNA", at positions 524 to 776 of the family's 1533-position model. The record is from RNAcentral.